Molecule: ribosomal RNA, 875 nt
Filed under: uncultured crenarchaeote
Lineage: Archaea; Thermoproteati; Thermoproteota
Description: bacterial SSU rRNA
Rfam family: Archaeal small subunit ribosomal RNA
Source: RNAcentral
UACUAAGCCAUGCGAGUCAUUCGUAGCAAUGACAAGGCAGACGGCUCAGUAACGCGUAGUCAACCUACCCUAUGGACGGGGAUAACCUCGGGAAACUGAGAAUAAUACCAGAUAGAACAUUAUGCCUGGAAUGGUUUAUGUUUAAAAUAAUUUAUUGCCGUAGGAUGGGACUGCGGCCUAUCAGUUUGUUGGUGAGGUAAUGGCCCACCAAGACUAUUACAGGUACGGGCUCUGAGAGGAGUAGCCCGGAGAUGGGUACUGAGACACGGACCCAGGCCCUAUGGGGCGCAGCAGGCGAGGAAACUUUGCAAUGUGCGCAAGCACGACAAGGUUAAUCCGAGUGAUUUCUGCUAAAGGAAUCUUUUGUCAGUCCUAGAAACACUGUUGAAUAAGGGGUGGGCAAGUUCUGGUGUCAGCCGCCGCGGUAAAACCAGCACCUCAAGUGGUCAGGAUGAUUAUUGGGCCUAAAGCAUCCGUAGCCUGUUUUGUCAGUUUUCGGUUAAAUCCAUACGCUCAACGUAUGGGCUGCCGGAAAUACUGCAAAACUAGGGAGUGGGAGAGGUAGACGGUACUCGGGAGGAAGGGGUAAAAUCCUUUGAUCUCUCGAUGACCACCUGUGGCGAAGGCGGUCUACCAGAACACGUCCGACGGUGAGGGAUGAAAGCUGGGGGAGCAAACCGGAUUAGAUACCCGGGUAGUCCCAGCUGUAAACUAUGCAAACUCAGUGAUGCAUUGGCUUGACGCCAAUGCAGUGUUGCAGGGAAGCCGUUAAGUUUGCCGCCUGGGAAGUACGUACGCAAGUAUGAAACUUAAAGGAAUUGGCGGGGGAGCACCACAAGGGGUGAAGCCUGCGGUUCAAUUGGAUUCAACGCCGG